This 135-nucleotide non-coding RNA is filed under the name Bacillus sp. (in: firmicutes). RNAcentral's name for it is "Bacillus sp. FMN sequence". It matches the Rfam family "FMN riboswitch aptamer (RFN element)". Rfam says of the family: The RFN element is a highly conserved domain that is found frequently in the 5'-untranslated regions of prokaryotic mRNAs that encode for flavin mononucleotide (FMN) biosynthesis and transport proteins. This element is a metabolite-dependent riboswitch that directly binds FMN in the absence of proteins. Lineage: Bacteria; Bacillati; Bacillota; Bacilli; Caryophanales; Bacillaceae. The record is from RNAcentral. RNAcentral also lists the same sequence under 1 other name.
AUCAUUCUUCGGGGCAGGGUGUAAUUCCCUACCGGCGGUGAUGAGGCGAAAGUCUCUAAGCCCGCGAGCCUGAUAAGGGCAGGAUCUGGUGUAAUUCCAGAGCCGACAGUAUAGUCUGGAUGGGAGAAGAUGGUG